RNAcentral lists this ribosomal RNA (254 nucleotides) under uncultured bacterium. Its description in RNAcentral is "partial 16S ribosomal RNA". It matches the Rfam family "Bacterial small subunit ribosomal RNA", at positions 524 to 776 of the family's 1533-position model. The record is from RNAcentral.
UACGAAGGGGGCUAGCGUUGCUCGGAAUUACUGGGCGUAAAGCGCACGUAGGCGGUCUUUUAAGUCGGGGGGUGAAAUCCUGGAGCUCAACUCCAGAACUGCCUUCGAUACUGGCGAUCUCGAGUCCGGAAGAGGUGAGUGGAACUCCUAGUGUAGAGGUGGAAUUCGUAGAUAUUAGGAAGAACACCAGUGGCGAAGGCGGCUCACUGGUCCGGUACUGACGCUGAGGUGCGAAAGCGUGGGGAGCAAACAGG